This 497-nucleotide ribosomal RNA is filed under the name uncultured bacterium. Its description in RNAcentral is "partial 16S ribosomal RNA". It matches the Rfam family "Bacterial small subunit ribosomal RNA", at positions 28 to 507 of the family's 1533-position model. The record is from RNAcentral.
GAUGAACGCUGGCGGCGUGCCUAAUACAUGCAAGUCGAGCGAACAGACAAUGAGCUUGCUCUUUUGACGUUAGCGGCUGACGGGUGAGUAACACGUGGAUAACCUACCUAUAAGACUGGGAUAACUUCGGGAAACCGGAGCUAAUACCGGAUAAUAUAUUCAACCGCAUGGAUCAAUGGUGAAAGACGGCUUUGGUGUCUCUUUUAGAUUGUUCCGCGCCGAAUUUUCUAGUUGGUAAGGGAACUGCUUAACAAGGCAACGAUUCGUAUCCGACCUGAGGGGGUGAUCAGCCAAACUGGAACUGAGACACGGUCCAGACUCCUACGGGAGGCAGCAGAGGGGAAUAUUCGGAAAUGGGCGAAAGCCUGAGGGAGCAAGGCCGCGUGGGUGAUGAAGGUCUUCGGAUCGUAAAACCCUUUUAUUGGGAAAGAACAGAAGUGUAAGAAAAUAGGCAUGUCUUGACGGUACCUAAUCAGAAAGCCACGGCUAACUACGUG